This 610-nucleotide ribosomal RNA is filed under the name Hansenula anomala. Its description in RNAcentral is "Wickerhamomyces anomalus partial large subunit ribosomal RNA". It matches the Rfam family "Eukaryotic large subunit ribosomal RNA", at positions 44 to 664 of the family's 3401-position model. Lineage: Eukaryota; Fungi; Ascomycota; Saccharomycetes; Phaffomycetales; Wickerhamomycetaceae. The record is from RNAcentral.
CCAUAACUGAGGAAAAGAAACCAACAGGGAUUGCCUCAGUAACGGCGAGUGAGCGGCAAAAGCUCAAAUUUGAAAUCUAGCACCUUCGGUGUUUGAGUUGUAAUUUGAAGAUGGUAACCUUGGGUUUGGCUCUUGUCUAUGUUCCUUGGAACAGGACGUCAUAGAGGGUGAGAAUCCCGUCUGAUGAGAUGCCCAUUCCUAUGUAAGGUGCUAUCGAAGAGUCGAGUUGUUUGGGAAUGCAGCUCUAAGUGGGUGGUAAAUUCCAUCUAAAGCUAAAUAUUGGCGAGAGACCGAUAGCGAACAAGUACAGUGAUGGAAAGAUGAAAAGAACUUUGAAAAGAGAGUGAAAAAGUACGUGAAAUUGUUGAAAGGGAAGGGCAUUAGAUCAGACUUGGUGUUUUACGAUUAUCUUCUCUUCUUGAGUUGUGCACUCGUAUUUCACUGGGCCAGCAUCGAUUCGGAUGGCAAGAUAAUGGCAGUUGAAUGUGGCUUCACUUCGGUGGAGUGUUAUAGCUUCUGCUGAUAUUGCCUGUCUGGAUCGAGGGCUGCGUCUUUUGACUAGGAUGCUGGCGUAAUGAUCUAAUGCCGCCCGUCUUGAACCACGGGACCA